CCUACGGGUGGCAGCAGUGGGGAAUAUUGGGCAAUGGGCGCAAGCCUGACCCAGCAACGCCGCGUGAAGGAAGAAGGCUUUCGGGUUGUAAACUUCUUUUCUCAGGGACGAAGAAAGUGACGGUACCUGCGGAAUAAGCCACGGCUAACUACGUGCCAGCAGCCGCGGUAAUACGUAGGUGGCAAGCGUUAUCCGGAUGUACUGGGUGUAAAGGGCGUGUAGGCGGGAAGGCAAGUCAGAUGUGAAAACCAUGGGCUCAACCUGUGGCCUGCAUUUGAAACUGUUUUUCUUGAGUACUGGAGAGGCAGACGGAAUUCCUAGUGUAGCGGUGAAAGGCGUAGAGAUUAGGAGGAACACCAGUGGCGAAGGCGGUCCGCUGGACAGCAACUGACGCUGAGGUGCGAAAGCGUGGGGGGCAAACAGGAUUAGAUACCCCAGUAGUC
RNAcentral lists this ribosomal RNA (443 nucleotides) under uncultured bacterium. RNAcentral describes it as "partial 16S ribosomal RNA". It matches the Rfam family "Bacterial small subunit ribosomal RNA", at positions 338 to 795 of the family's 1533-position model. The record is from RNAcentral.